GCAUCUACCGAUUGAAUGGAGAGGUAAAAUCUCCGGACUAUGACGCGUUGGGGUCAAACCUAAUGCAGUCGUGGGAAGUGGAUUAAACCUUUCCAUUUAGAGGAAGAUGAAGUCGUAACAAGGUUUCCGUAGGUGAACCUGCAGAAGGAUCCA
Molecule: unclassified non-coding RNA, 153 nt
Filed under: sea anemone metagenome
Description: partial contains small subunit ribosomal RNA and internal transcribed spacer 1
Rfam family: Eukaryotic small subunit ribosomal RNA
Source: RNAcentral